AUUGAACGCUGGCGGCAUGCCUUACACAUGCAAGUCGAACGGCAGCACGGGAGCAAUCCUGGUGGCGAGUGGCGAACGGGUGAGUAAUAUAUCGGAACGUGCCCAGUCGUGGGGGAUAACGUAGCGAAAGCUACGCUAAUACCGCAUACGAUCUAUGGAUGAAAGCGGGGGAUCGCAAGACCUCGCGCGAUUGGAGCGGCCGAUAUCAGAUUAGGUAGUUGGUGAGGUAAAGGCUCACCAAGCCGACGAUCUGUAGCUGGUCUGAGAGGACGACCAGCCACACUGGGACUGAGACACGGCCCAGACUCCUACGGGAGGCAGCAGUGGGGAAUUUUGGACAAUGGGCGCAAGCCUGAUCCAGCAAUGCCGCGUGCAGGAUGAAGGCCUUCGGGUUGUAAACUGCUUUUGUACGGAGCGAAAAGGCUUCCACUAAUACUGGGGGCUCAUGACGGUACCGUAAGAAUAAGCACCGGCUAACUACGUGCCAGCCGCCGCAGUAA
RNAcentral lists this ribosomal RNA (500 nucleotides) under uncultured bacterium. RNAcentral's name for it is "partial 16S ribosomal RNA". It matches the Rfam family "Bacterial small subunit ribosomal RNA", at positions 30 to 523 of the family's 1533-position model. The record is from RNAcentral.